GGUGGGGUAGGGCGAGACUCGCUUGGCAUUUUCCCUGAUCAGACAGUGCGCAGCGCGCGGACUGUAAAUCUGCCGGCUCAGCCUACCCAGGUUCGAACCCUGGCGCCGCCA
Molecule: transfer RNA, 111 nt
Filed under: Streptomyces sp. SID10692
Lineage: Bacteria; Bacillati; Actinomycetota; Actinomycetes; Kitasatosporales; Streptomycetaceae
Description: tRNA-OTHER
Source: RNAcentral